Gavialis gangeticus (Gharial) is the source of this 246-nucleotide long non-coding RNA. RefSeq lists it as uncharacterized. NCBI's taxonomy places the organism in Eukaryota, Metazoa, Chordata, Crocodylia, Gavialidae. The record is from RefSeq and is a predicted model, not a curated record. The transcript has 2 exons.
GAUCCAGAGGAGGUGCAGUGGCAUGGAUCCACCCCCCUUUCAGUCGGUGACACAGCGGGACCAGCAGCCAGGGACUUUUUUAAAGUCCCCAAAUCGGCAAAAUCUGUCUGCCCCAGUGUGGGGUGAGGAGAAGCUGGGAACAGGGGGUACAGCCACCCCUACAGCACCAGUCAGUGAUCCUCCAUCUCCCUUUACAAAAUCCUGGAUCCACUCAAGUAUAUCCAUUACAUAAACACAAUUUCAUAA